CUGGAUGUAGAAAACUUUUUUAAUAUAAUCUGGUGGUAAUUGCAUGUGCGGAAACGGCAGACGCGUGACAACAAAACUUCUGUAUACGGGGGACAUGCGAUCAUGCAUAUUAUUGAAGCCCGUGUGAAAAUAUUUGCAGGAGAAGAUGUAUGCAACUUCAGACUCACCGCAGGCUUUUGCUGCUAGAUUUUGCAACAAAAAUACGGAAUCCGCCCAUGGAAGAGAUAAGUUUUUAUUUUAAUUUAAUUUAUCUCACGCACUAAAAAAGAGAUUUAUGUGUUUCAAAAAAAAAAAAA
This 296-nucleotide long non-coding RNA is filed under the name Daucus carota (carrot). RNAcentral describes it as "long non-coding RNA (DCAR_LNC001264)". Lineage: Eukaryota; Viridiplantae; Streptophyta; Magnoliopsida; Apiales; Apiaceae. The record is from RNAcentral.